AUGGUUGGUGGCGCACUUCCUGAAUUUACGGGCAGUGUCAGACGUUUGCGUCGCGCAUACAGAUACCAGGCCCGCCACAGAGCGGGCUUUUUAUU
Molecule: small RNA, 95 nt
Filed under: insect gut metagenome
Description: Tryptophan operon leader
Rfam family: Tryptophan operon leader
About the family: At least 6 amino acid operons are known to be regulated by attenuation. In each a leader sequence of 150-200 bp is found upstream of the first gene in the operon.
Source: RNAcentral